AUUGAACGCUGGCGGCAUGCCUUACACAUGCAAGUCGAACGGCAGCACGGGUGCUUGCACCUGGUGGCGAGUGGCGAACGGGUGAGUAAUACAUCGGAACAUGUCCUGUAGUGGGGGAUAGCCCGGCGAAAGCCGGAUUAAUACCGCAUACGAUCCACGGAUGAAAGCGGGGGACCUUCGGGCCUCGCGCUAUAGGGUUGGCCGAUGGCUGAUUAGCUAGUUGGUGGGGUAAAGGCCUACCAAGGCGACGAUCAGUAGCUGGUCUGGGAGGACGACCAGCCACACUGGGACUGAGACACGGCCCAGACUCCUACGGGAGGCAGCAGUGGGGAAUUUUGGACAAUGGGCGAAAGCCUGAUCCAGCAAUGCCGCGUGUGUGAAGAAGGCCUUCGGGUUGUAAAGCACUUUUGUCCGGAAAGAAAUCCUUGACUCUAAUACAGUCGGGGGAUGACGGUACCGGAAGAAUAAGCACCGGCUAACUACGUG
RNAcentral lists this ribosomal RNA (486 nucleotides) under uncultured bacterium. RNAcentral describes it as "partial 16S ribosomal RNA". It matches the Rfam family "Bacterial small subunit ribosomal RNA", at positions 30 to 507 of the family's 1533-position model. The record is from RNAcentral.